Molecule: long non-coding RNA, 1518 nt
Organism: Mus pahari (shrew mouse)
Lineage: Eukaryota; Metazoa; Chordata; Mammalia; Rodentia; Muridae
Exons: 3
Source: RefSeq, a predicted model, not a curated record
UGCUGGCACCUCACAGUAACUACUGCACUCUUUCCACUCAGUGCCCUCCCUCCUCUGAGCUCACACCCCCACCCCUCCACCUUGCAGGCUGUCCUGUAAUUUCCUUGGAGAUGAGGUGGCUGCUGAGUUGGCCCAGGUCCUGCCGCAGAUGGGGCAGCUGAAGAUAGUGGACUUGGAGAAGAAUCAGAUCACAGCAUAUGGAGCCCAACUCCUGGCCCAAGGGCUGGUCCAGGGAUCCUGCGUCCCAGUCAUUCGCCUCCAGAACAACCCCAUUCCUAACGAUGUGGCCCAGAGUCUACAGAGCCAGGAACCCAGGCUGGACUUCUCCUUUGACCAGCAGACUCUUUGAGGAACCCAACAGACCUCUCAAGAGUCCAGUCCAGUGACAGCCACAUCGCCCACCAGGAGGGGGGCUCAGAAGAACCUCAGUUGGUGCCCAGCAUCCUGCGAACGCUCCAGGGGGGAAGAGUACACUUUCCCUGUCACACUCCCUAGGGAGCACAUUCUUUAGGGACUGAGAGCUUUGUUUGACCAAAAGAGGACCAUAUAUCAUAUAUCAUACAUGACAUGUGUUACCAAUGGGACAUUGACAUUACGAGAGUAUUAUGAGGUCAUAUAUACAGGAAAGACUGUGUAUGGUGCACUAUGACCUCUUGACACGGGAAGGUCAUACUCGGAGUAGGUCAAAUGUGGCAUUACAUGGAAUUUGUGGCAUGACGCCUGGUCAUAGCCUCCUUGCACUGUAAUUGGCAAUACACAUGAUCAGGAAUCCACUUACGACAUGAUGUCCAUAUCACAUGACACACAGCUUGCCAGGGGACCACAGAUAAGUCCUAGACCUAAUUUAUUACUAUUUUUAUUUUAAAAAAAAAAAACCAUGAAGUUAGGCUAAUGGUAUAGGCUAUGCUGUAUGAACAGCCUUUUAGCUGUUCAGAAAUCUGAGGCAAGUUCAAGGCCAAUCUAGGUAAUUUAGUAAAAUCCUGUCUCAAAAGGUCAGAAAGGGCUGGGGAUAUGGCAGUGCUAGAGUGCUUCCUAGCACGUGUGACACUAAGCUCAAUGCUUGGUGCCUUUUUAAAAAAGUAUUUAUAAGCAACUUCUGGGGAAACUUUUUGUCUUGUGCUAGGAGAGGGGGGUUAGUAUUGAGUGGCCCAAUGGUCAGGGGUCUGGGGCAUGCCAAGGACUUAGCAUGAAGUCCCCUCCUGCCAGAGCCUCAAUUCUCCCUUCUGUUAAUCAUGUUCUUCCAAGGACUUUCAGCCCAGGCUUCAGAGUUAACCUGACCCUGGGAGAGUUCACACUCAUCUCUUCUUUCCUGGUUCAAGGGACAAAGCCAAGCCAACAGUUUAGGGAUAGGUACUUCCAGGACAGUAGGCAAGGCCACUAGGUCUAGCCUACCCACUACCUCAGCAGGAUUCAGAAACCACUUGAAACUCCACAGUGUUUUGCUUUGUUUUGUGACUUCCAAAGGCUAACCUCGCAACACUCCAUAGCAGAUGAUCAAUAAACGCAAAUGGAACUGGU